This 669-nucleotide ribosomal RNA is filed under the name Coralliogalathea joae. RNAcentral's name for it is "partial 28S ribosomal RNA". It matches the Rfam family "Eukaryotic large subunit ribosomal RNA", at positions 685 to 1138 of the family's 3401-position model. Lineage: Eukaryota; Metazoa; Arthropoda; Malacostraca; Decapoda; Galatheidae. The record is from RNAcentral.
UGCAAGUCAAUGGGUAUUUGUCUAAACCCAUGGGCGAAAUGAAAGUGAAAUAAGUCGGAGCCUCGUGCUCCUUCUAGGGCUGAUCCCUGAUCCAAGUCGUGGGUGCUAAAGGUCACGCAGAAGUGUACUGAGGUGAGCUCUCCUCUCCCUCUGGUAUAACCUGUUGGCACGAACCACCUGUCUUGUGGACGAACACGACGCGUUGGAUCCACGCUCAUGCAAAUGGGGGGGCGCAAGCCCGGGACGUGUCAAGACGCGGCCGCCUUUACUUCGCCUCCGUGCGUUGUUUUGUGCGGUCUGUAGUCGACAUGUACCUUGAGCAGACAUGUUAGUACCCGAAAGAUGGUGAACUAUGCCUGGCCAGGAUGAAGCCAGAGGAAACUCUGGUGGAGGUCCGAAGCAAUUCUGACGUGCAAAUCGAUUGUCAGAGCUGGGCAUAGGGGCGAAAGACUAAUCGAACCAUCUAGUAGCUGGUUCCCUCCGAAGUUUCCCUCAGGAUAGCUGGCACUCAUUACAAUGAUUAACAUCCGGUAAAGCGAAUGAUUAGAGGUUUUGGGGACGGAACGUCCUCAACCUAUUCUCAAACUUUAAAUGGGUGAGAAGCCGAGCUUGCUUAAUAAAACUGUGAAGCUUCGGUGUUUAAUCUUGAGAGCCUAKUGGGCCAUUUUU